GAUCAAACCUGUGUCUUCUGCAUCUCCUGCAUUGUCAGGCAGAUUCUUUACCACUGAGCCACCUGGGAAGCCCCAAGAAGCUGUUACUUCUUGUCUUGGCUGCUUUCUGUUCACUUGUGAAUAUAAGUCUCAAGGAAACCAUAAGCACUUAAUAAAAUACCUUAGGUAGGAAUAAAAGAGAAGCUGCCAAAGCUCUGCAUCAUCAUCAGGAAUUCUUGGAUUAAACAGAAUUUAAUCUAAGUGCUGGGUAAAUGAGCAGUAAUGCAUACAAAUCUUUUUGAACAGUGGCUGACUUGCCCACGUUGUCAAAAGACAUUGGAGUGAAAAAUCAGAUCCCAUCUCUGUUAUGUUGGCUUAAAAUCUGUUUUAUUGAGGGGGAUAGUGUGUGGUGGCCUGGCUGUAUUCCCUUGGGAGGUCUAAGUUACUAUUUGAAUUGCUUGGCUCCACUUCAUACCUGCAGCCCCCCAGUGCCUCUUUCUGACUCUGCCUGUGCUUGAUAUGGCCAGCGUCUUAGUUACUUCUAAAAAGGACAAAGUCUAUCCGGUUAACUAGGUCAUCAUUGCCCAAACCUGCGUGGCCUGAAAUAAGACAAUAAAGGACCAAAGGGGCCACACAGACACGUACGAGCUAUGUGAUGUGCCUGCCCUUGUUUCUUUUCUCAGCUGAGGCCCCUCCUGCCUUGCCUCUGUCCUCAUCCACCUGUCUUGGAUUUUGACUUGUGAGACAGGGCUGGGGCCUUUCAGGGAGGCUUUAACCCCGAGCAGCAUGGGCUCAGAGGACAUCACGUCAGGACACACGGACCUUUACGGGGAAGAUGUGUUCUCAUCCGGGCCAGGUGUUCAUGGCAGACUCGCACCCCAUCCUUAACUGUGUCAGCAGCCUGGUCUGGAAUCAGAUGCAAGGAAGGGAAAAUCCUUUUCAUGAAUUCACAGAAGGUUUCACCACGUGCUCUUGCCAUGAAGCCUUUUCACCAUGCACCGUUGUUACUAGCACACAGGGUGAUUAGCCAUCUAGGUUAUUACAGCCAUAGGACUUGGUGAUGAAUUGCACAUUCAACUGGCCAUGUGCUGUGAAUGCUAAGCCACUUCACUCAUGUCCAAUUCUUUGAGACUCUAUGGACUGUAGCCUGCCAGGCUUCUCUGUCCAUGGGAUUCUUCAGGCAAGAAUACUGGAGUGGGUUGCUGUGCCCACCUCAAGGGGAUCUUCCCAACCUAGGGAUCAAACCUGCAUCUCCUGCGACCCCUGCAAUGCAGGCAGAUUCUCAACUGCUGAACUACCCGGGAAGCCCAUUCCUUAACCAAUACUACAUAAUUUCAGUUAAAUUUCCCAGCUUAUUUGUACCAGGAGAUUGGCAAGCCCACAGUCUAGGGUCACACCUCUUCCGAAGCCCUCAACAUUUCUCCAGCAGUGUGGACGGCUGUGUGUGAGCACCGUCACAGUGAAAUCCACUAUGGUUUUCUUUCCUGCAGGAACCAGACAGAAAACAGGAGAAACGCAUGGGAAGGAGGCCUUCCUGCUGAGCGCCGGCUGGACGCUCUCAGGGGUUUCUCACUGUUCCCCUGCAUUCUUACCCUUGACCCUUUGGUGCAAUCCAGUCUCCCUGGGGCAGGGCCCUCUGAAAGUUGUGAUUUCCUCUCCUGACAGGCAGCAGGAAGGGGAGAAAGCUGCAAGCCAACCUUUGCUCCGGGAGCACUGGAAAGUGGUUAACAAAAGGGGGCACAGGACAGGGUGUGCUCAGGAAAUAUUGAUAAAAUGAGAGAGAGAAUGUGGAGAGAGAGAAAGACACCUCCCC
Long non-coding RNA from Bos taurus (domestic cattle), 1792 nucleotides. The record is from Ensembl. Lineage: Eukaryota; Metazoa; Chordata; Mammalia; Artiodactyla; Bovidae.